CGUAGGUGGCAAGCGUUGUCCGGAUUUACUGGGCGUAAAGCGUAUGUAGGUCGGAUUUUUAAGUAGGAAGUGAAAGGUUCGAGCUCAACUCGGACACUGCUCCCUAUACUGGAAGUCUUGAAGGCCGGAGAGGAAAGCGGAACGACACGUGUAGCGGUGAAAUGCGUUGAUAUGUGUCGGAACACCAAUGGCGAAGGCAGCUUUCUGGACGGUGAGUUUACUCUUAAAUUUGACGCUGAGAUACGAAAGCCGAGGUAGCGAACAGGAUUAGAUACCCUGGUAGUCUCGGCCCUAAACGAUGUUCACUAGGUGUCGGGGGGGUAACCCUCGGUGCCGCAGCUAACGCAUUAAGUGAACCGCCUGGGGACUACGGCCGCAAGGUUG
Molecule: ribosomal RNA, 384 nt
Filed under: uncultured organism
Description: bacterial SSU rRNA
Rfam family: Bacterial small subunit ribosomal RNA
Source: RNAcentral